Molecule: ribosomal RNA, 417 nt
Filed under: Triticum aestivum (bread wheat)
Lineage: Eukaryota; Viridiplantae; Streptophyta; Magnoliopsida; Poales; Poaceae
Description: partial small subunit ribosomal RNA
Source: RNAcentral
AGGGGUUGGGACCACCAUCAUAGUGUCCGCCGGCCCAACUCCGUCCUUGGAGUUCUUUGCCGGCAAAACUUCCCGGGGUUUGUCAUGUUGCCUGGUGAGGGCCGGCUUCCAGAGCUUGGAUUGAGCUGGGAGCACUAUGUGGCUGCCCCGGCCCCGCCGGAUGAGAUUAUCGACGGUGUCGUGUGCGACAUGAGGGCAGACAUGGUGAUCAGAAAGUUCUGGACAUUCUACAGGUGUGAGGAGGGAUACGAGGAGGACGCGGCACAUGUUAUCGAGAACGUCUGCAAGCGCCUACUCCAGAACUUAUGGCACGAGGAUCGGGUGCAGGCUGUUCGAGACUACUACGCCUUGCGUGGUAUCAAGAAGACCAAGCCGGCGUGCCGCGAUAAGUUCCUGAGUAAGGAGCAGUACAUGAAG